Molecule: microRNA precursor, 70 nt
Filed under: Ovis aries (sheep)
Lineage: Eukaryota; Metazoa; Chordata; Mammalia; Artiodactyla; Bovidae
Description: miRNA (ENSOARG00000025099.1)
Source: RNAcentral
GAUUGGCCAAAAUGUUUGCUUGGGUUUUUCAAGAUAUUAUGGAAAAAUCUGAACAAACUUUUUGGCCCAC